Molecule: ribosomal RNA, 540 nt
Filed under: uncultured bacterium
Lineage: Bacteria
Description: bacterial SSU rRNA
Rfam family: Bacterial small subunit ribosomal RNA
Source: RNAcentral
UGAGGAAUAUUGGUCAAUGGACGGAAGUCUGAACCAGCCAAGUAGCGUGCAGGAUGACGGCCCUAUGGGUUGUAAACUGCUUUUGUAUGGGGAUAAAGUUAGGGACGUGUCCCUAUUUGCAGGUACCAUACGAAUAAGGACCGGCUAAUUCCGUGCCAGCAGCCGCGGUAAUACGGAAGGUUCAGGCGUUAUCCGGAUUUAUUGGGUUUAAAGGGAGCGUAGGCUGGAGAUUAAGUGUGUUGUGAAAUGUAGACGCUCAACGUCUGAAUUGCAGCGCAUACUGGUUCCCUUGAGUACGCACAACGUUGGCGGAAUUCGUCGUGUAGCGGUGAAAUGCUUAGAUAUGACGAAGAACUCCGAUUGCGAAGGCAGCUGACGGGAGCGCAACUGACGCUUAAGCUCGAAGGUGCGGGUAUCAAACAGGAUUAGAUACCCUGGUAGUCCGCACAGUAAACGAUGGAUGCCCGCUGUUGGUACCUGGUAUCAGCGGCUAAGCGAAAGCAUUAAGCAUCCCACCUGGGGAGUACGCCGGCNACGGUG